Molecule: non-coding RNA, 19 nt
Filed under: Mus musculus (house mouse)
Lineage: Eukaryota; Metazoa; Chordata; Mammalia; Rodentia; Muridae
Source: RNAcentral
GAACACUAAUUAGAGUAUC